UGGGGAAUAUUGCACAAUGGGCGAAAGCCUGAUGCAGCAACGCCGCGUGAGUGAUGAAGGCCUUCGGGUUGUAAAGCUCUGUCUUUUGGGACGAUAAUGACGGUACCAAAGGAGGAAGCCACGGCUAACUACGUGCCAGCAGCCGCGGUAAUACGUAGGUGGCAAGCGUUGUCCGGAUUUACUGGGCGUAAAGGGUGCGUAGGUGGAUGUUUAAGUCAGAUGUGAAACCCCUGGGCUCAACCCAGGACCUGCAUUUGAAACUGGACAUCUAGAGUGCGGGAGAGGUAAGUGGAAUUCCUAGUGUAGCGGUGAAAUGCGUAGAGAUUAGGAAGAACACCAGUGGCGAAGGCGACUUACUGGACCGUAACUGACACUGAGGCACGAAAGCGUGGGUAGCAAA
Molecule: ribosomal RNA, 400 nt
Filed under: uncultured bacterium
Lineage: Bacteria
Description: bacterial SSU rRNA
Rfam family: Bacterial small subunit ribosomal RNA
Source: RNAcentral